GCAAUUUGGAUGCAUCAUCUGACACUGUACUGAUUACAAGGGGUGAUUUAGCUGAUCUGGCCUGCUAGGUGGGUGNCCCCUUCCUC
RNAcentral lists this small RNA (86 nucleotides) under Salvator merianae (Argentine black and white tegu). RNAcentral describes it as "7SK RNA (ENSSMRG00000004419.1)". It matches the Rfam family "7SK RNA", at positions 11 to 96 of the family's 331-position model. From Rfam's summary of the family: 7SK was discovered as an abundant small nuclear RNA in the mid-70s but a possible function has only recently been suggested. Two independent studies have found that 7SK RNA binds the CDK9/cyclin T complex (known as elongation factor P-TEFb). The record is from RNAcentral. Lineage: Eukaryota; Metazoa; Chordata; Lepidosauria; Squamata; Teiidae.